UUUUCUUGUUAUAAAGUUCAUUUCAACCGUGUUGCUUGCUAGUUACACAAGUAGCCAGUACUGAGUAGCAUCAGAUGUGGAAAGUUCCGUAUUGCUUGCUUCGCGGGAAUAUAUAUCGAUAUAUUGAAUUGUAAAAACUCAAAAUCAAUUUUUUCAAAAAAUUUAAAGACGAAAUUUGUAUGUGUGAAAUAUUCUUAUAUUUUCUUUGUAUAUACAGAGUGUCUGACGUAAGCCCUACAAAACUAUAUGUGAAGAUAAAGCACGAGAAAAGAACCUGAACAAAGGAAUCCCUAACAUUUUAUAAAUAACUACGUAAAAUAACGAGAAACUGAUUUCGAGAACCGAUUUGGAGAACCGAUUAUUUGGAAUGCUUAAUACUUUCUUUAAAAAAAUUUUGACGGUAAUAUUAGCGUUUAUAUACUUAAUAAAAAAGAUUAAUGAACCAACCUACGCCAAUGUUGUGGGACAAGUUCUGUUAACACGAGAUAUCAUCAAAAUUAUUCGAAAUGCGAUUGCUUUUUUGCCACACGUUCGCCAUACAUCUAAAAACAAUUAUUAUCACGCUGUUCGCAUCCUUACUCUGUCUUGAGCUAUCAGACGAUAUCCGUCUUUGCUAAAAGACAGUAGCGUUUUAAUCAUUUUCGAUGAGAUCUUGCGCUUAUAAGGCAUAGUCCAACAACGAGCGCUCAGAUUUUUUUCAUUAAUAUCUCGAAAUUUUACGUAGUUAUUUGCGAAAUGCUAAAGCUCUUCGUGCUCAGGUUAAUGUAUUAAAAUAAUUGAAUGUAGAAAAAAAUAUACACGAGGAAAAUAUAAGAAUAUAUCACACGUACAAAUUUCGUCUUCAUAUUUUUGAAAAAAUCGAUUUUAAAUUUUCAGGUAAUUCAAUAUAUUAAUAUAUAUUCCUGCAAAGCAAGCAAUAAUUCUACUUUCACAAAUGUGCUUUCGUGUACCUUGAGUCAAACACUGUAUAUACGCUGCAUUUUUUUCUCAUAAUUUGUUACACGAUCGUCAAUGGUAUUAACUAUUUAGCAUUUUUUAAAUUCUGCGUCGAAAGUUUCUCAAAAAGGCUAGGUCUAAAGCAGAGCUUUAAUUCGGUUGCGAACCGCAGAUAACAACAGCGAAUGGACAAUGGCGGCGGAAAAAGUUAACGUUGAGAGCGGUUUUGAAAAAUCGGAGGAUGCAGACGCAGCAGUGGGAGGAGCUGCUGAAUCAUGAGCUUAAUAAUUCCUCGUUCAUAGAAGAAUAUGUCUUUAUCGGCGAAAAAUUGAACAGGGUGCUGAUUUAUAGCCUCAUCUGAAUUGAACGUUAUACCACGCAAGGAGUUUUGAAGAGAGCGAAACAAGUGGAAGUCUGACGGCGCAAGGUCAGAUGAGUAUGGUGACGAGAUGUUAAAGUACAUCAUUGAGGGGAUUCCUGAUGUACAUUUACGAGAUCAAGCACGUAUCCUUUGCUAAUCCAGACAAGUUACUUCAGGCGUUCCAAAAAAUAACAUUGAAUGAUCGGCCGAGUAGCACAAGUGGCUCAACUAAGUAGGAGAGACGCAGCUUUAGUCAAGGAACCAGCGGGACUAAAUCUAAGUCAACAGAGAUUCAGUGUGAGGGUGGUCGACGAAAAAUGACGAGGCGUUGCUUCAAUUGUGGAGAACGCUCUUACCUAGGAACUGAUUGUUCAUCAAAAGCGGAAGGAGUAAGAUGUUUUGAAUGUAGUGAGCGAGGACACGUUGCAUCGAGAUGUCCAAAGAAAAACAAUAUUGCUAAGAAUAAUUGUGUCACUUCGCAAUCGAUAAAUAGAAUUUGUACCAAGGAAGCUUUGUUAAGCGGUACCAAAAUCUGUGCUUUGUUAGAUACAGGUAGCGACAUUAGCUUAUUAAGUGGAGCAAAAUAUUAUGAGUUAAAUUUACCUUCACUCACACGAGAAUCCGUUAUCUUUUGCGGAGUAGGCGCUAAAGAUAAUAAAACGUUAGGUUUCGUAAAAAUUACGAUAGAAGUUGAUGAUCAUACUUAUUCAAUUUGCGUUCAUGUAAUCCUGGAGGGAUUAGUGUUGUAUGAUCUGUUGCUCGGUACGGAUUUUAUAAAACAAGUCGAGUUGAACAUUAAAAGUGGUGAUGUAUGUAUCAUCCCAUUUGAAGAACAGCCUGAAGUGUUGAAUAUUCAAGUAACAGAGGAUGUUGAGCCUAAUCUUCCUCCGUUUGUGAGUAGUAAGCAUAAAGAGAGAUACGUAAUUGCAUCUCAUACAUUUUAGCCAAGAAAAGAUAGGGCAAGCAGAAAGACUUCCUCAAUUCCUUAGAAAGGGGUAGCCUGCAAUUAGAUACCUACCAUAUGGAUCACAUGGGUCCUCUACCAACGACUAAAAAAGAUAUUGGCAGCUGUUUGUGGUUAUUGAUGCGUUCACAAAGUUCAUCUAGUUAUAUUCUACUAAGCAAUCAAUGCUGCGGAAGUGAUCGCACAUUCGCGAAAGCAAGCUGUUAUUCUUGGCAAUCCUCAUCGCAUUGUUUCAGAUCGUGGGAGCGCAUUUACGUCUCACGAAUUCGGGGAUUAUUGCAGACAAGAAAACAUAUAGAGGCAUUUUCUGACGACAGGAAUACCUAGAGCAAAUGGCCAAGUCGAGAGAUUGAAUCGAGUUAUCAUUCCGUUGCUGACUAAAUUAUCGGCGCCUAAGUCACAUGAAUGGUUCAAAUAUUUGUCACGAGUUCAGCAGUGUAUUAACACAACUUCUAGUCGAUCUACAGGAACAACACCCUUUAAAUCAUUAUUCAGAGUAUGACCACGUCUGGAAGAGAAUCCAGAAAUUACUGUUCGAAGAAAUUGCGCGUGAAUUUGACGAAGAAGAAAGAAAUGAUUUGCGGGAGCAAGCACUUGAGAAUAUCCAAAAAAUUCAACAAGAGAAUCGAAAAGAAUACGAUAACAAGCGAAAAAAACCUGAAAAAUAUAAAGAAGGCGAUUUCGCAAUUCGACGAACGCAAAAAGGACCAGAACUUAAGUUUGCCCAUCAAUAUCUCGGAUCUUAUGAGAUAGUUCGGACUUUAGGUAAGGACUGCUAUGUUGUAGGAGAACACGGGGCCAGCAGAAACGUCCACAGCCGUAGACUUCAUCAAGCCUUGGCUGGAAUAUGACAGCGAUUAUCCAGACUGUUGUGAAGAAUCGGAUGAGUCAAAGGAAGAGUGCCCAGUCCCCAGGAUCAGAUAUUCGGGACGAAUGUUAGCGCAGAAUGGCCGAGUGUAGGGCUGUUCGAUCGAAACCUACUGUAGUUCCGUAAACGUAAAAUGAUUUACCGCGCGUUGAAUAUAAUUCUGUGGGACCCGUAUGGUGACGUUAGGCGCACUCGAGUAGUGGCAGAGUAACCGUCGUUAGAAUUACGUGGACACGGAGAGUAGAGUGAUUGUUUUCGCAAGCGUUAGCAUAGACGGAUAUCGUCUGAUAUCUCAAGGCAGAGUAAGGAUGCGAACAGCGUGGUAAUAAUUGUUUUUAGAUGUAUGGCGAGCGUGUGACAAACAAACAAUCACAUUUCAAACGAUUUUGAUGAUAUCUCGCGCUAACAGAACUUGUCCCAGAAUAUUGCGUAGGCUAGUUCGUUAAUAUUUUUUAUUAAGUAUAUAAAUGCUAAUAUUAUUGUCAAAACUUUUUUGUAUUAAGCGUUCCCAACAAUUGUUUCUCCAAGUCGGUUCUCGAAAUCGGUUUCUCGAAAUUUUAAUUGUUUAUAAAAUGCCAAAGGUUCUUUUGUUCAGGUUCUUUUUUCAGCGUGCUUUAUCUUCACAUAUAGCUUUGUAAGACUUAUGACAGACACUCUAUAUACACAAAGAAGAUAUAAGAAUAUUCCACGUAUACAAAUAUCGUCUUUACAUUUUUUCAAAAAAUUGACUUUGAGUUUUCACAAUCCAAUAUAUCGAUAUAUAUUCCUGCGAAGCAUCCAACACGGAAUCUUCCACAUCUGAUGCUACUCAGUAACUGGUUACUUCUGUAACUGGCAAGCAACACGGUUGAAAUGAACUUGAUAACAAAAAAAUAGAAGUAGUAAUUUGGAGCUGUAUAUACGCGCGUGUGUCAGCGCAAUAGUUAUACAUUGACACAGAAACAUUAGUUCGCACUCAUUACAGUAAUAAUUAUCCUCACUUUGCACAUUUUAUUGUUUUUAUUUACUCUAUAUCUGGAACUCAUUAUGACGCAAUCUAAACUCUUAAGAUUUUAUUGAUUAAACGAAAUCGUUAUAAGCAGAUGAAGUUUAGUCAUAAUUAUAUGGUACAUUCUAUGUUCGAAGAUAAAUACCUAUAAUGUAAUACAUGGAAAAAAAGAAUUUGCUGCAGCAGCAAACAAAUUACAUAUGGAUAUAUAUGGAUAAUAUGGAUAUAUGGAUAAUUAAAUGUAAUUCGCUAUGUCA
This is a long non-coding RNA of Odontomachus brunneus, 4374 nucleotides long. RefSeq lists it as uncharacterized. The record is from RefSeq and is a predicted model, not a curated record. The transcript is spliced from 4 exons. Lineage: Eukaryota; Metazoa; Arthropoda; Insecta; Hymenoptera; Formicidae.